Molecule: long non-coding RNA, 769 nt
Organism: Daucus carota subsp. sativus
Lineage: Eukaryota; Viridiplantae; Streptophyta; Magnoliopsida; Apiales; Apiaceae
Exons: 3
Source: RefSeq, a predicted model, not a curated record
CUCUCUCUGAUGAUUCUUUCGGUCUCGCACUUCUCUCUCUUUCAAUCUUCACGUCUUCAAUUCGAUUCUUCUAAGUAAUAUCACAUACUUUACUUCUUGAACGAAGGUAGAUGAUAAGAUUCUCAAUAGAUCUGCUUUAGCCUCCGGAUUGACCGGCUUCAAAUUGGGGCAUCUUGGAAUUGGGGGUUUUGAUUUUGACUUUAAUUGAUUCUGUUUUGAUGAUUAAGCUUAACUAAUUGAACUCUCUCUUUACUUUCAGCGUAUUGAAUCUUGAAGUUUAAUAGAUUUGUGCUUUGAUUUGAUUUUCGGAACAUUGGAACUUUGGGUCGUUGGAUCUGAGAAGAACAGAGAGAGAUGUGAGAAAGCAUCGAAGAUGAGAUACCUAUGCAGUUGAGGAAGUAAAGAACAAGGUUAUUUUCAAAGAAACAGCCAGGCCAUCAGGGCUAUGGCGCCAAAAAAGACAAAGGCAAAAAGAAAAUGGCUAUUUCUCAAGGGAUGAUGAUGGUGAUUGCGAUGAGGAAGAUUGAAAUGAAGCUACCUAGCUAGAUGCAUUAUUGGUAGGGAUGCUGAUUUUGUUAAAACAUUGCUUUUGUCUUUUGAUUGUUCAGCUGUAACGUAUAUGAUUGUUGGCUUUUGCUAGCUUUUGGCUGAUUGUUUAGCUGUAACAUUUAUGUCGUACAUAAUUUUAUAACUGUCCUUUUGUAAAUAUAUGAAUGCUUGUUGGCUUUUAAAUUAUGUUGUACUGAAUUUUAAUGGAUAUGAUUCUUGA